Molecule: transfer RNA, 60 nt
Filed under: Streptococcus agalactiae
Lineage: Bacteria; Bacillati; Bacillota; Bacilli; Lactobacillales; Streptococcaceae
Also listed under: 1 other name
Description: tRNA-Gly (TCC) (tRNA-Gly-TCC-2-1)
Rfam family: tRNA
About the family: Transfer RNA (tRNA) molecules are approximately 80 nucleotides in length. Their secondary structure includes four short double-helical elements and three loops (D, anti-codon, and T loops).
Source: RNAcentral
AGUUUAGUGGUAAAACUACAGCCUUCCAAGCUGUUGUCGCGAGUUCGAAUCCCGUACGGA